This 282-nucleotide ribosomal RNA is filed under the name uncultured prokaryote. Its description in RNAcentral is "partial 16S ribosomal RNA". It matches the Rfam family "Bacterial small subunit ribosomal RNA", at positions 524 to 817 of the family's 1533-position model. The record is from RNAcentral.
UACGUAGGGGCUAGCGUUAUCCGGAAUUACUGGGCGUAAAGGGUGCGUAGGUGGUUUCUUAAGUCAUAGGUGAAAGGCUACGGCUCAACCGUAGUAAGCCUUUGAAACUGGGAAACUUGAGUGCAGGAGAGGAGAGUGGAAUUCCUAGUGUAGCGGUGAAAUGCGUAGAUAUUAGGAGGAACACCAGUUGCGAAGGCGGCUCUCUGGACUGUAACUGACACUGAGGCACGAAAGCGUGGGGAGCAAACAGGAUUAGAUACCCCCGUAGUCCCUGAGCGGGCU